GUAGCUGUGGCCGAGAGGUUAAAGCGAUGGGCUCGAAACCCUUUCGUGUCUUUCUAUACAGGUUUGAAUCCUGUCAGCUACG
This 82-nucleotide transfer RNA is filed under the name Alligator mississippiensis (American alligator). It matches the Rfam family "tRNA". Rfam says of the family: Transfer RNA (tRNA) molecules are approximately 80 nucleotides in length. Their secondary structure includes four short double-helical elements and three loops (D, anti-codon, and T loops). The record is from Rfam by way of RNAcentral. Lineage: Eukaryota; Metazoa; Chordata; Crocodylia; Alligatoridae.